This 3740-nucleotide long non-coding RNA is filed under the name Canis lupus familiaris (dog). RNAcentral describes it as "lncRNA (ENSCAFG00845003897.1)". The record is from RNAcentral. Lineage: Eukaryota; Metazoa; Chordata; Mammalia; Carnivora; Canidae.
AGCCCAACAUGGGACUCGAUCCGGGGUCUCCAGGAUCAGGCCCUGGGCGGAAGGCGGUGCCAAACUGCUGAGCCACCCAGGCUGCCCGACACAAUGCACUUUUAAGUUUAAUUUGAAUUAUUAACAUAAUGUCUACUUUCUUAAAUCUUCACAGCUAAUGAAACAAUAAGUUGAGCUCUGAGUUAUAGUGUUUACCACGCAGCCAUUUUCAAACUACAACAUGCUGUCAUUGAAUGUGGAGUUGGGAGACUAUGUGCAGUAACACACCAUUGUAGUCUAUUUCCACUACAGAGAUGCAGUAGAUGUAAAUUACCUUAUGCAAAGGUUUCUCUUUUUUUAAGAUUUUAUUUAUUUAUUCAUGAGAGAGGCAGAGACAUAGACAGAGGGAAAAGCAGACUCCCUGCAGCGAACCUGAUGCGGGACUUGAUCCCAGGACUCCAGGAUCAUGACCUGAGCCAAAGGCAGACACUCAACUACUAAACCCCCCAGAUGCCCCAUGUUUUCUGAAUUCCAUUAUGAAUUCUCUAAUAUGAGAAUAUUUUCUAAAGGCAUACCAAGAUUUUUUACAUCCAAGUUUCUCAUUAGCAUAAAUUCUGUAAUCCUGAGCAGUGUUGGAGUCAUCCAUAAAGGACUUCCCAAAUUCCUUAAAUUCUUAGGAAAUUUUCACCCAUAUGGUUUCUCUGGUGUACUUUUAGGGCUGGACUGUAUAUAAAGGCCUUCCUGCAUUUUUCACAUUUAAAGGGUUUCUCACCAGUGUGUAUCCCCUGAUGUUCAGUAAGGAAUGAAUUCAGUCUAAAGGUCUUGCCACAUUCCUUACAUUCAAAGGAUUUCUCACCAGUAUGAACAUUCUAAUGUCCAAUAAGUUGCCCAUACAGGGUAAAGGCCUUUCCACAUCCCUUACAUUCAUAGGGUUUUUCACCAGGAUGAAUUCUUCCAUGUUGUACAAAGUAUGAGGCAUGACUAUAAGUUUUCCACAUUCCUUGAAUUUAUAUGGUUUCACAUCAAUGUAAAUUUUCUGAGGUUGUGUAGGAUGUACAUGUAUUCUAAAGGCCUUCUCAUAUUCCUUAGAUUCAUAGGGUUUCUCACCAGUAUGAAUCCUCCGGUGCUGAACAAGGUACAAGCCAGUACUAAAGGCCUUGCCACACUCUUUACACUAAUAGGAUUUCUCACCUGAAUGAAGUCUUUCAUGUUGAACAGGAUAUGAGGUAUGACUAAAGGCUUUCCCACAUUCUUUGCAUUCAUAGGGCUUUAUCCCUGCAUGAAUUCUCUGAUGUGCAUUAAGAAAUGAACUAAGUCGAGAGGCCUUUCCACAUUCCUUACAUUCAAAAGGUUUCUCAUCAGUAUGAAUACUCUGACAUGGAGUAAGCUGUCCAUAUACAGUAGAGGCUUUCCCACAUUCCUCACAUUCACAGGAUUUCUCAACAGUAUGAAUUCUCUGAUGUUUAACAAGGGGUGAGCCUCUAAUAAAAGCCUUCCCACAUUCUUUACAUUCAUAGAGUUUCUCAAAAGUGUGAAUUCUCUGAUGUUGAACAAAGCACAAAAUGGUAUAGUAAAGGCCUUCCCAUAUGCCUUACGUUUAUAAGGUUUCUCACCAAUAUGAAGUCUGAUGCUCAGGGAGUCGAUGUCUAUUCCUAAAGUUCUUUCCACAUUCUUUAUGUUUCCAGGGUUUUUCACUAGAAUGUGUUCUCCCAUGUUGAACAGGGUUUGAGCCUUGACAAAAAGUCUUCCCAUAUUCCUGACAUUCAUAUGAUUGCUCUCUAUUAAGAAUUCUCUGAUGUAGACCAAAAGAUGUACACUUCUCAAUUGUGGGCACUUCUUUAGAGCUGACUGUCUCAUUCUUCAGUUGAAAAUCUGAAAGAAGGGGAUGCCUGGGUGGCUCAGUGGUUGAGUGUCUACCUUCAGCUCAGGACAUGAUCCCAGGAUCCAGGGAUCGAGUUCUGCAAUGGGCUUCCUGCAAGGAGCCUGCUUCUCCCUCUGCCUGUGUCUCUGCCUCUGUGUCUCUCAUGAAUAAAUAAGUAAAAUCUUUAAAAAUAAUCAUAAUAAUAAAAUAAGAUAAAAUAAAAUAUAUUAUUUAAAAAAGCAGAGCUUUCUCCUGGCUAAGGGCAGAGGGGAGUCAGAGACCAUCAAAGUGUGAGAAGGACAAGACUUGCUGGUUGCUAGCCAGAAGACAGAGGGGGCCACAUGGAAAGUGUGAGAAGGAAAUAAAUUCUACCAGUAACCAGUGAGCUUCAAAGAAGACUUCAUGCCCUAAAGAACUGCAGUCACAGCUGAUACUAGGAUUUACCAUCCUGUGAACUAAUGUAUAGAACUAUGUGAUGAUAAAUUACUGUAGUCUUAAGCUACAAAAUUUGUGGUCUUUUGUUACAAAGCAAUAGAAAACUAACACACUCUCUAAAAGCAGGCCCAACCCCUAUUUCAUUCAGCACUGAAGUAUAUAACUCUUCUAGCACAUAGCAGAAAUAGAUUAUAAGGGGAAAAAAAGGACAAAUCCCUAGACAAAAGAAUUAGGAUAUAAUUAAAAGACAGUAUCAUACAAAUAAUUCACUGAUAACCGAUUAAUAUGAAAUAGAUAAUCCCUGAAGAAAUAAACAAUUUCUGAAAUGAGGCAGGGAAGGAGGAACCUUAGAUAUCUUUGCCAAAAAGUCAGGUAAGUUUCCAAGAUUCAUAGAUUUCUCCAAGAAACAGGAGAGACUUAAUAUGGAGCUCCGUAUGGCAAAUACAAUGACAAAAGGAACACACAAAUGAUUAUUUUGAUUUACACAUUCUGAACAAGUGCUAUUGGAUGGAUAAAAGAUGAAUCCAUAUUAAUUCUUGCAAGGGAACAGAAAAAAUUAAGUUUUAAUCUUUGUUGUUGGAUAAUCUCCUACUUAGGAAAAGUAUUUAACUACUAGUAAAGAAUCAAGUAAUUUCUCUUUCUCUUUUAUUGGAACUAUGUUUCAAGACAACUAAAAUUACUAAUUUACACAAGAAAUAAUAGUAACAAAGUAUCUUCCUACAAAUAAUGAUUUUUUUUUAUUCUGAUGAGGAUUAACAACAUGACAGGUUGCUAAAGAAAUGACUAUUUCUUGAUAAUAAAAUAAAACCACACAGAUUACUGUUUAGCCACAAGGGGAAAAAUUAACUACUGUGACUGUAGACUAUUAUCACUCUAAUCCAGUGGUCAAUCUUUUUUUCUUUUUUUCUUUUUUAGAUUUAUUUAUUUUACAGAGAGAAAGAGAGAGCAAGCAAGCAUGGUACACACAUCCAUGUGAGUGCGGGGAGAAGAAGGAGAAGGAGAGAGAAAAUCCUCAAGCACACUCCCAGCUGAGUGCAGAGCCCAAUGCAGGGCUCAAUCUCAGGACUCAAUCUCAGGACCCUGAGAUCAUGACCAGAGCUGAAAUGAAGAGUUGGCUGCUUAACAAACUGAGCCAUCCAAGACUCCUCCAGUGAUCAACCUUAAUAAUGAGUGCAACCAGAUACUAUGCAUUUUCGGAUAAAAUACACAUCACCUCCUGUGAUGUAUUCCAGACAAAAAUGUUAACCUUUUAAAAACAUUUCCAUACAAUGUGAUAAGCCAUACAGGCAUUUUGACUGGAACCAGACCACUGGGAUGGCCCUCAAAGAUUAGUACUGAAUUUGCACACAAAAGUCAACAGAAAAUUGAAUCAGACACGUUAUUUAACUAUCUGCCUUUAGGAUGAUUUCUGUUAUCUCUUAAGACCAUUUUGGCCUAUCAACCUCCCAAUUCUCAGAAAAAAAAA